RNAcentral lists this ribosomal RNA (410 nucleotides) under uncultured microorganism. RNAcentral's name for it is "bacterial SSU rRNA". It matches the Rfam family "Bacterial small subunit ribosomal RNA", at positions 509 to 917 of the family's 1533-position model. The record is from RNAcentral.
CAGCAGCCGCGGUAAUACGUAGGUGACAAGCGUUGUCCGGAAUUAUUGGGCGUAAAGCGCGCGCAGGCGGUCCUUUAAGUCUGAUGUGAAAGCCCCCGGCUCAACCGGGGAGGGUCAUUGGAAACUGGGGGACUUGAGUGCAGGAGAGGGAAGUGGAAUUCCACGUGUAGCGGUGAAAUGCGUAGAGAUGUGGAGGAACACCAGUGGCGAAGGCGGCUUCCUGGCCUGUAACUGACGCUGAGGCGCGAAAGCGUGGGGAGCAAACAGGAUUAGAUACCCUGGUAGUCCACGCCGUAAACGAUGAGUGCUAAGUGUUAGGGGGUUUCCGCCCCUUAGUGCUGCAGCUAACGCAUUAAGCACUCCGCCUGGGGAGUACGGCCGCAAGGCUGAAACUUAAAGGAAUUGGCGGG